GGACCGCAUGCCCGUGACCGUGUGAAGCUUCCUUCGACGAGUCGAGUUGUUUGGGAAUGCAGCUCAAAAUGGGUGGUAAAUUUCAUCUAAAGCUAAAUACUGGCUGGAGACCGAUAGCGCACAAGUAGAGUGAUCGAAAGGUUAAAAGCACCUUGAAAAGGGAGUUAAAUAGCACGUGAAAUUGUUGAAAGGGAAGCGCUUGCAACCAGACUCGGCCGCAGAGGCUCAGCGGGCACGUGUGCCCGUGCACUCCUCUGUGGCCGGGCCAGCAUCAGUUCUGACGGCCGGUCAAAGGCCCCUGGAAUGUAUCCUCCUCCGGGAGGUCUUAUAGCCAGGGGUGCAAUGCGGCCAGUCGGGACUGAGGAACGCGCUUCGGCACGGAUGCUGGCGUAAUGGUUGUAAGCGACCCGUCUUGAAACACGGACCAAGGAGUCUAACAUCCACGCGAGUGUUAGGGUGUCAAACCCUUGCGCGCAGUGAAAGC
This 484-nucleotide ribosomal RNA is filed under the name Gymnascella dankaliensis. Its description in RNAcentral is "LSU rRNA". It matches the Rfam family "Eukaryotic large subunit ribosomal RNA", at positions 223 to 726 of the family's 3401-position model. The record is from RNAcentral. Lineage: Eukaryota; Fungi; Ascomycota; Eurotiomycetes; Onygenales; Gymnoascaceae.